GGCUCAGGACGAACGCUGGCGGCGUGCUUAACACAUGCAAGUCGAGCGGUAAGGCCCCUUCGGGGGUACACGAGCGGCGAACGGGUGAGUAACACGUGAGCAACCUACCCUCAACUUUGGGAUAAGCCUCGGAAACGGGGUCUAAUACCGGAUAAUACCGUGCUCCUCAUGGGGUGUGGUUGAAAGUUCUGGCGGUUGGGGAUGGGCUCGCGGCCUAUCAGCUUGUUGGUGGGGUAAUGGCCUACCAAGGCGUCGACGGGUAGCCGGCCUGAGAGGGCGACCGGCCACACUGGGACUGAGACACGGCCCAGACUCCUACGGGAGGCAGCAGUGGGGAAUAUUGCGCAAUGGACGAAAGUCUGACGCAGCAACGCCGCGUGAGGGAUGACGGCCUUCGGGUUGUAAACCUCUUUCAGCAGGGACGAAGCGAGAGUGACGGUACCUGCAGAAGAAGGACCGGCCAACUACGUGCCAGCAGCCGCGGUAAUACGUAGGGUCCGAGCGUUGUCCGGAAUUAUUGGGCGUAAAGGGCUCGUAGGCGGUUCGUCACGUCGGGAGUGAAAACUCGGGGCUUAACCCCGAGCCUGCUUCCGAUACGGGCAGACUAGAGGUAGGCAGGGGAGAGCGGAACUCCUGGUGUAGCGGUGGAAUGCGCAGAUAUCAGGAAGAACACCGGUGGCGAAGGCGGCUCUCUGGGCCUUACCUGACGCUGAGGAGCG
Molecule: ribosomal RNA, 719 nt
Filed under: Kribbella aluminosa
Lineage: Bacteria; Bacillati; Actinomycetota; Actinomycetes; Propionibacteriales; Kribbellaceae
Description: bacterial SSU rRNA
Rfam family: Bacterial small subunit ribosomal RNA
Source: RNAcentral